UCAGAGGAAGAGAGAGAAGAGAAUCCCGGAGGCGUCGGCAAGGCGUCCGCCCAGGGACCGGAGGAUAAAGAGUGGUCGACUUUGGAAUUCACAUUUUGAGUGGAGUGGCAGUGGACCUGGGCUGGUUUGCACUGCUAAUUGAGGAAUUAGGAGGUCGAUCACUCUCAAAGAGUGAAGAAAAAAACAAAUCGCUAAGAUGCCAAAUACCUGAAAGAGAAACUCAGCCGGAAGGAAAGAGCCCAAAAAGUGCUGUUCAGAGACAAGUGAGCCAUCUGCAGGCAAAGCUGGAGCUGCAGGAGCGGAUUAAAAACUUGCGUUACAAAAAUAUUAGAAAAAGGGGCGAGAUUUGAGACCUGUGAGAAGAAUCAUGAGUGCAGUAGGGCAAAGAAAUGUGUCAGACAGUGGCUUCUCUGGUCAGAGUGUUAGUCCGAACGACUGCUACUUAAAGCCGGGUUUCCUGAAAAUCAGAAAGAAGUUAGGAGGCUGGGAUCUCAUAUGACUCUUCUCAUUGUGCCCUAGGAUGAGAAAGUACAUGGGCCGACUAAACGCGUGUCACUGCAUUGCCAGUUUUAUAGUUCACUUUUAAUCGCAAAUAUUAGUAAUUUCUAAUCUUUUUCGCCCCUCAACGUGUCAGUCUCUUCACAUUUCAACAACUGAUUAGUUGAAAAUAACUUUUCCCUUCGCUGUUUCUGGACUCCUUUACCAUAAAUGAAACUAUAGCUACCAUUUAAUCUGUAAUAGUUGUGUUUUUUUCUCUACGGAUUAUUUUCAUAUUGAAUAUUAACUCAAACAUGAUUAGAUGCUUAUCUCCACCAGGGUACUUAUUAAAGAUACUCGUUUCCUAAGGCUUAUUUCUUAAUGAGCAAGCCCAUAUUCUUCCCAUAACAUACAUACAUAUAUAUAUAUAUAUAUAUGAAGAUAGCAGGUGAUAAAAGAUAAACCCAUAUACAAUACCAAAAUGUUGAGGAUCAUUGAGUACAGUAAACAGUAUAAAAUUUACUUUAAGCAAAACAUGAGCGGAACUUUAAAUAUUUAUUAUGGUUCUGGUUACCUGACAGCAAUAAAAAACAUGAAUCCCAAAAUCGUUUUUUUUUUUUUUUUUUAAAUUUGUAGCUAAAGUUAACGUAAGGCAAAAUGACCUAGACAGAUCAUUAUCCAGACCUAAUGCAAAAGUCAUUAUUGGAUGAAAGUACUAUUUCUGCCACUGUAAAAAAGAAUAUCUUCCUUGAGCUUUCUCGAAUUAAAGUAUGACUAACCAUUAAAUUCAGUGACACUACAGUAUCUUAGCCAUGUUACUCCUACAUGAGCCAUUGGUAUAAUCUAUAGUUUGAUUUCAAAUUUAAACUCACUGUAUAGCACUGGUAGUCUCAAAUGCACAGCGUUCCUCCUGCCUCAAACUCCUAAGUGCUGGGAUUAUAGGUGUGCACUAGCUGCAUAUCAUUGUAGUUUUUUACAUUUCUCUGAUUGCUAAAGAUAUUGAACAUUUUUUAACCAAUUCGUGAUGGGCACAGUUGUAAUCUCAGCUCUCCCAAAAGCUGAAGAGGAAGGUCAGGAGUUCAAGGACAGUGUGGGUUAUGUAUCAAAUUUGAGGCCACCAUGGGUCAUUAAAAAAACAGAGAUGAACUUUUUAAACAUAAUUAUGGCCUGUGAUUUGUACUUCUUCUUUUAAAACUGUCUGCCCAUUUGUCUGUUUCAUGACUGUUUUUUUUUUUCUUUCAGUUCUUUAUGUAUUCUGGAUAUUAAUCUUCUGUCAGACAAGUACAAGUAUUUAGCAACAGUACUCCAUCAACGCAACCCUGCUUCCUGUGGAGUGCUCUUCUGAGUUCUGUGUGGAGUCACAGCAUCAGUAUUACCUGGGGAAGGAUGUGCUGCACAGGAGAAACAAUACAGACACAAGCAUGGUGAAACUGCAUCUUCAUGAUGGCAAGGCAGGGUAAAUGAGUAGGAUCUGAGUCUUAUCAAACCAGGAAAACUGUACAGGCAAUAAAGGGUCCUGAAAGACUUGAGGGAUAUGGCUAAGUUGAAAAAGUUCCUAAGAGAAGAAAACAGCACAAAGUAUAAAAUAAGACAUAGAAAUCACCGCAGCAUAUUCAUUGAGCACCCUUUGUACUGUAUGCCGGUCACUAAAAGAACAUGAAACAAGAAUACUAUUUUUUAAACUACUAGGGCAGAUUACAUGCUUUUAUGGGAAAAAAGACAACAUGCAGUCUAGUGAUUCCAGACAGCAAGGAGUGCAGUGAAAAGGCACACCUCGUCAGAGUGCAGUGCUGAAUUACCUGCGCAAAGGCGACUCUGGAGUCAGAACUGACAGUAACUAAAGGAAAGGAAGCUACUCUACAAUGGAAUCUGAAGUCUGGGGACAAUGGAAAGAUACAAGGGACAGGAUGUCCUUGAUAGUAUGGUGAUGAAUAUAUUGCUGCUGGUAAAGAUGAUUUUAAUAAAAUAAUAAAUAACUUGGAAACUGCAAGUUA
This is a long non-coding RNA of Cavia porcellus (domestic guinea pig), 2471 nucleotides long. RefSeq lists it as uncharacterized. The record is from RefSeq and is a predicted model, not a curated record. NCBI's taxonomy places the organism in Eukaryota, Metazoa, Chordata, Mammalia, Rodentia, Caviidae. The transcript has 2 exons.